GACGAACGCUGGCGGCGCGCCUAACACAUGCAAGUCGAACGAGCGAGCGAGAGCUUGCUUUCUUGAGCGAGUGGCGCACGGGUGAGUAACGCGUGAGGAACCUGCCUCUAAGAGGGGGACAACAGUUGGAAACGACUGCUAAUACCGCAUAAGCUCACUGUGCCGCCUUGCUCAGAGGGAAAAGGAGCAAUACGCUUUGAGAUGGCCUCGCGUCCGAUUAGCUAGUUGGUGAGGUUACGGCACACCAAUGCGACGAUCGGUAGCCGGACUGAGAGGUUGAGUGGACACACUUGGACUGAGACACGGCACAGACUCCUACGGGAGGCAGCAGUGGGGAAUAGUGCACAAUGGGGGAAACCCUGAUGCAGCGACGCCGCGUGGAGGAUGAAGGUAGUCGGAUUGUAAAGUCCUGUUGUUGGGGAAGAUAAUGACGGUACCCAACAAGGAAGUGACGGCUAACUACGUG
This 466-nucleotide ribosomal RNA is filed under the name uncultured bacterium. RNAcentral's name for it is "partial 16S ribosomal RNA". It matches the Rfam family "Bacterial small subunit ribosomal RNA", at positions 28 to 507 of the family's 1533-position model. The record is from RNAcentral.